CUAAAGCAUCUCGCUUACACCGAGAAGAUACCUGUGAAAACCAGAUUAUUUCGA
Molecule: transfer RNA, 54 nt
Filed under: Paratelmatobius poecilogaster (San Andre rapids frog)
Lineage: Eukaryota; Metazoa; Chordata; Amphibia; Anura; Leptodactylidae
Description: partial tRNA-Val
Source: RNAcentral